RNAcentral lists this transfer RNA (63 nucleotides) under Temnothorax bernardi. RNAcentral's name for it is "tRNA-Leu". The record is from RNAcentral. Lineage: Eukaryota; Metazoa; Arthropoda; Insecta; Hymenoptera; Formicidae.
UAUGGCAGACAAGUGCAAUGGAUUUAAAAUCCUACCAUAAAGAUCAAACCCCUUUUAUUAAAA